GCGCUCUUGGCGUAGUGGUAGCGCGUGUCUCUCCUACCUUCUGCCGUGAGCGCUGCAAGCGUUGUAGGAUGCAAAGACGAGGUCGUGGGUUCGAUCCCCACAGGGCGCU
RNAcentral lists this transfer RNA (109 nucleotides) under Sporisorium scitamineum. Its description in RNAcentral is "transfer RNA-Arg(CCT)". It matches the Rfam family "tRNA". From Rfam's summary of the family: Transfer RNA (tRNA) molecules are approximately 80 nucleotides in length. The record is from RNAcentral. Lineage: Eukaryota; Fungi; Basidiomycota; Ustilaginomycetes; Ustilaginales; Ustilaginaceae.